This is a long non-coding RNA of Macaca fascicularis (crab-eating macaque), 1628 nucleotides long. Lineage: Eukaryota; Metazoa; Chordata; Mammalia; Primates; Cercopithecidae. The record is from Ensembl.
GGCUGGAGUGCAAUGGCCGGAUCUCAGCUCACUGCAAGCUCCGCCUCCCGGGUUUACACCAUUCUCCUGCCUCAGCCUCCUGUGUAGCUGGGACUACAGGCGCCCGCCACCUCGCCCGGCUAGUUUUUUGUAUUUUUUAGUAGAGACGGGGUUUCACCGUGUUAGCCAGGAUGGUCUUGAUCUCCUGACCUUGUGAUCCACCCGUCUCGGCCUCCCAAAGUGCUGGGAUUACAGGCUUGAGCCACGGCGCCCAGCCAUAUAUACAAUUUUUAUUUGUCAAUUAUACCUCAGUAAAGCUGGAAGGGGAAAAAAAGUAGGUGAUUUUUCAGUAGGAUUAGAGCCAGGGCUCUCAGUGAGAAGUUCUGCCAAAGGCUGGAAUGGACAGGACUUUUUGGUAAAAAUGAAAAGCAAUAAACCCACCUGCGGACGACCAAGCAGGUCGUGACAUUGCAGGACUAGCAGAUGGUACCUAAAAUGUCACUGUAGCCUUUCCCACCUCACUGAUUGGCAGCUGUGGCUCAGGCUAAAACCUUGGAGGCAUCUUUAACUCCACUCUCUCUCCCUUUCACCUCACAUCCAAUCUGUCGGCAAAUCCUAAACUUCUAAAUAUAUCCAGAAUAUGACUGCUUCUCACACCUCCACUGCCAGCACCUCCAGCAGGUCCCUCAUCGUGUGCUGCCUGGAUUCUCACAGUCACCUCGCUCUGUCUCCCAGCACUACGCAGUUUCUUCUUUGCACAGCAGUCAGAACAGCUCCUUAAAAACCCAAGUCAGAUCAAGUCAGCUCCCUGCUCUGAAUCCCGAACCCUCCAGGGGCUCCUCUAUAGCAUUCAGAGUCAAAGUCAAAGUCUACAGUGCUUUGAGGCCCUACACCAUCUACCCCUGUCCAUCCCUCUGGGACCUUCAGCUCAACUGCCCCUCUAGCUGCUCCAUUCCACGCACGCCAGCCACCCUCCCCAUUCUGUGUUCCUCAAAUAUGCAGGGCCUUUGCAUUCUGUCCUCUCCCUGCAACAUGAAUCCUCAGAUAUCCUCCUGACUCGCUCCCUCAGCUCCCCCAUGUCUUUUCUCAGACAUCACCUUUGGACAUGGUUUGGAUCUGUGUCCCUGCCCAAAUCUUAUGUCAAUUUGUAAUUCCCAGUGUUGGGAAGGUGGGGCCUGGUGGGAGGUGAUUAGAUCGUGGGGGUGGAUUUCCCCACUUGGUACUAUGUUGAUGGUGAGUGAGUUCUUGUGAGAUCUGGUUGUUUAAAAGUGUAUAGUCCCUCCCUCCCUCUCUCUUCCUCCUGCUCCAGCUGUAAGAUGUGCCUGCUUCCCCUUGGCUUUCCACCAUGAUUGUAAGUUUCCUGAGGCCUCCCCAGAAACAGAAGUCGCUAUGCUUCUUGCACAGCCUGUGGAACCGCAAGCCAAUUAAACCUCUUUUCUUUAUAAAUUACCCAGUCUCAGGUGUUUCUUUAUAGCAGUACAAGAAUGGUCUAAUACACCUUCUCAGUGAGAUCUGACUCAACUUCCCGAUUCAAAAUUGUAACAUCUUCUGCCCAGCACUCCCAGCCCCUACCCUGCAGCAUUUUACCCUGUAACGCUUAUCACUUCUUACCUUUAAAUGUGUUCCUUUUCUUACCAAAGCCUAGCUUG